Molecule: ribosomal RNA, 448 nt
Filed under: uncultured bacterium
Lineage: Bacteria
Description: bacterial SSU rRNA
Rfam family: Bacterial small subunit ribosomal RNA
Source: RNAcentral
CCCAGACUCCUACGGGAGGCAGCAGUGGGGAAUAUUGCACAAUGGGGGAAACCCUGAUGCAGCGACGCCGCGUGAGCGAUGAAGUAUUUCGGUAUAUAAAGCUCUAUCAGCAGGGAAGAAGAUGACGGUACCUGACUAAGAAGCCCCGGCUAACUACGUGCCAGCAGCCGCGGUAAUACGUAGGGGGCAAGCGUUAUCCGGAUUUACUGGGUGUAAAGGGAGCGUAGACGGCGAUGCAAGCCAGAUGUGAAAGCCCGGGGCUCAACCCCGGGACUGCAUUUGGAACUGUGUGGCUGGAGCGUCGGAGAGGCAGGCGGAAUUCCUAGUGUAGCGGUGAAAUGCGUAGAUAUUAGGAGGAACACCAGUGGCGAAGGCGGUCUGCUGGACAGCAACUGACGCUGCGGCGCGAAAGCGUGGGGAGCAAACAGGAUUAGAUACCCUGGUAGUA